GACGAACGCUGGCGGCGUGCUUAACACAUGCAAGUCGAACGGAAAGGCCCUGCUUUUGUGGGGUGCUCGAGUGGCGAACGGGUGAGUAACACGUGAGUAACCUGCCCUUGACUUUGGGAUAACUUCAGGAAACUGGGGCUAAUACCGGAUAGGAGCUCCUGCUGCAUGGUGGGGGUUGGAAAGUUUCGGCGGUUGGGGAUGGACUCGCGGCUUAUCAGCUUGUUGGUGGGGUAGUGGCUUACCAAGGCUUUGACAGGUAGCCGGCCUGAGAGGGUGACCGGCCACAUUGGGACUGAGAUACGGCCCAGACUCCUACGGGAGGCAGCAGUGGGGAAUAUUGCACAAUGGGCGGAAGCCUGAUGCAGCAACGCCGCGUGCGGGAUGACGGCCUUCGGGUUGUAAACCGCUUUCGCCUGUGACGAAGCGUGAGUGGCGGUAAUGGGUAAAGAAGCACCGGCUAACUACGUG
Molecule: ribosomal RNA, 468 nt
Filed under: uncultured bacterium
Lineage: Bacteria
Description: partial 16S ribosomal RNA
Rfam family: Bacterial small subunit ribosomal RNA
Source: RNAcentral